GGUAGAGAAUACUAAGGCGAGCGAGAUAACUCUGGUUAAGGAAUUCGGCAAAAUGGCUCCGUAACUUCGGGAGAAGGAGCGCCCCGGUAGGGUGUAGGACCUCGCGUCCGAAGCUCGAAGGGGUUGCAGAGACCAGGCCCAAGCGACUGUUUACUAAAAACACAGGAGCGUGCGAAGUCGCAAGACGCAGUAUACGCUCUGACGCCUGCCCGGUGCUGGAAGGUCAAGGGGAUAGGUUAGCUCUUCGGAGCGAAGCUUUGAACUCAAGCCCCAGUAAACGGCGGCGGUAACUAUAACCGUUGAACAGAAAACUGAACGGCGGUUGCAAAACCUGGCUAUAUGCUGGAACAUCCGAGUAUCCGACGGUACUCGUUCGGUCCAAAGGUAGAAAUACCGAAGGACAUGAACAGUGAAAAUCCGAUCGGUGCGGACAAUCAGCAGGAAACCGAAGCCACAGAACGACCAAUCGAUCCAUAUCGGAUCGUCAGAGGAUCGCCUCGAGCGAACCGUCUGACGUACCGGAUGCUGGCAACUCAAGCCGGCGGACGGGCAGACCGAAACGAAUCGAGGGUUGGCGUGGAAGACCAUGCAUCCAGGCAUACGUACCGAUCGCAAGAUCGAUGCCAACACGGAAGCACUGGUCCCUGGACAGAACCGAAAGGUGACGUCCUGUAGGGAUCCUCAGAGACUGUACGCUAGGCGCCGCAAUGAGUAGCGGUGAUGAUACAGUCCGAUCCUCAUGGCGACAUGGGGAGCCCGGCAGAAAUGACCGGGCCCGUUACUUCACGUAAUGAAUUCCACGUGGAGUGCGAAGUAACAAGAAUGCCUAAGGUAGCGAAAUUCCUUGUCGGGUAAGUUCCGACCUGCACGAAUGGCGCAACGACUUGGGCACUGUCUCAACCAGAGACUCGGCGAAAUUGCAGUGUGAGUAAAGAUGCUCACUUCCUGCGACAGGACGGAAAGACCCCGGGACCUUUACUGCAACUUGACAUUGGAGUUCGUUAUCAGAUGUGUAGGAUAGGUGGGAGACCGUGAAGCGGUGGCGCUAGCCAUCGUGGAGUCAACCUUGAAAUACCACCCUUCUCAUAAUGGUCUUCUAACCUCGAUCCAUUAUCUGGAUCAGGGACAGUGUCUGGUGGGCAGUUUCACUGGGGUGGUGGCCUCCUAAAAUGUAACGGAGGCGCCCAAAGGUUCUCUCAGUCUGGUCGGCAAUCAGACGUUGAGUGCAAGGGCAAAAGAGAGCUUAACUGCGAGACCUACAAGUCGAGCAGGUUCGAAAGAAGGGCCUAGUGAUCCCUCGGCGGCAUGUGGGUGCGCCGAGGCCAACGGCUAAAAGGUACCCCGGGGAUAACAGGCUUAUCCUGCCCAAGAGUCCAUAUCGACGGCAGGUUGGCACCUCGAUGUCGGCUCGUCUCAUCCUGGGGCUGAAGCAGGUCCCAAGGGUCGGGCUGUUCGCCCGUUAAAGAGGCACGCGAGCUGGGUUUAGAACGUCGUGAGACAGUUCGGUCCCUAUCCGUCGCAGGCGCAGGAGGUUUGAGAGGAGCUGUCCCUAGUACGAGAGGACCGGGAUGGACGCACCGCUGGUGUGCCAGUUGUUCUGCCAAGAGCACGGCUGGUUAGCUACGUGCGGAAGGGAUAAGCGCUGAAGGCAUCUAAGUGCGAAGCCCACCUCGAGAUGAGACCUCCCACCGGAUCAAACCGGGUAAGGCCCCUGGUAGAAGACCAGGUUGAUAGGCCGGAAGUGUAAGCACAGCAAUGUGUUCAGCUGACCGGUACUAAUCGGCCGAGGGCUUGGACU
RNAcentral lists this ribosomal RNA (1798 nucleotides) under marine sediment metagenome. Its description in RNAcentral is "bacterial LSU rRNA". It matches the Rfam family "Bacterial large subunit ribosomal RNA", at positions 1669 to 2925 of the family's 2925-position model. The record is from RNAcentral.